UGUGAUGAUGAGGUUGUUGAUUAAUCUCGUUAAUCUGAUGAUAUAUGAGGAUAAACUCACUAUCCACUCUUAAUCCACUGAGC
Small nucleolar RNA from Lycium barbarum (goji berry), 83 nucleotides. RefSeq annotates it as small nucleolar RNA U30. The record is from RefSeq and is a predicted model, not a curated record. Lineage: Eukaryota; Viridiplantae; Streptophyta; Magnoliopsida; Solanales; Solanaceae. The transcript has a single exon.